This is a non-coding RNA of Chlorocebus sabaeus (green monkey), 3896 nucleotides long. Lineage: Eukaryota; Metazoa; Chordata; Mammalia; Primates; Cercopithecidae. The record is from RefSeq and is a predicted model, not a curated record.
ACCACUUCUUAUUUACCGAGAAAACUCGCAAGGACUGCUAACCCAUGCCCCCAUACUUAACACUAUGGUUUUCUCAACUUUUAAAGGAUAACAGCUAUCCAUUGGUUUUAGGAACCAAAAAUAUUGGUGCAACUCCAAAUAAAAGUAAUAACCAUGCACACCUCCAUUAUAAUAGCAACCCUCGCCUCCCUAACCCCCCCAAUCAUUGCCACCUUUAUCAAUCCCAACAAAAAACAAUCAUACCCAAACCAUGUAAAAACAACUAUAAUAUAUGCUUUCAUUACCAGCCUUAUUCCAACAACCCUAUACAUCUCCCUAAACCAAGAAACAACCAUUUGAAGCUGACACUGAAUAAUAACUCAAACACUAGAUCUAACACUAAGCUUUAAACUAGACUACUUCUCCGUAAUAUUCACCCCAAUCGCACUAUUCAUCACCUGGUCUAUUAUAGAAUUCUCACUAUGAUACAUAAGCUCAGACCCAAACAUCAACCAAUUCUUCAAAUAUCUCCUUAUUUUCCUCAUCACAAUACUAAUCUUGACCACCGCUAACAACCUUUUUCAACUCUUCAUCGGCUGGGAGGGCGUAGGAAUCAUAUCUUUCUUAUUAAUCGGCUGAUGAUAUUCUCGAACGGACGCCAACACAGCAGCAAUCCAAGCAAUCCUGUACAAUCGCAUUGGCGAUAUUGGCCUCAUCCUAGCUAUAGCAUAUUUCCUCCUACACUACAACUCAUGAGACAUACAACAAAUACUAACUCUAAACCCCAACCCAAACUCCCUCCCACUAAUAGGCCUUCUCCUAGCAGCAAUAGGAAAAUCAGCUCAACUUGGCCUUCAUCCUUGACUACCCUCCGCCAUAGAAGGCCCAACCCCAGUCUCAGCCCUACUACACUCUAGUACCAUGGUUGUUGCCGGGGUGUACUUACUCAUUCGCUUCCACCCUCUAAUAGAAAGCAACACACUACUUCAAAGCCUCACACUAUGUCUGGGAGCCAUCACCACCAUAUUUAUAGCCAUCUGCGCCCUCACACAAAACGACAUCAAAAAAAUCGUAGCCUUCUCCACCUCAAGCCAACUAGGCCUAAUAAUAGUUACCAUCGGCAUCAAUCAACCAUAUUUAGCAUUCCUGCAUAUCUGUACUCACGCCUUCUUCAAGGCCCUACUUUUCAUAUGCUCCGGAUCCAUCAUUCAUAACCUAAAUAACGAACAAGACAUCCGAAAAAUAGGAGGCCUAUUCAAAACAAUACCCCUCACCUCAACUUCCCUACUCAUCGGCAACCUAGCACUCACAGGAAUACCAUUCCUCACAGGCUUCUACUCCAAAGAUCUCAUUAUCGAAGCCACAAACACGUCAUAUACCAACGCCUGAGCCCUAUCUAUCACCUUCAUCGCCACCUCUCUAACAAGCGCCUAUAGUACUCGAAUCAUUCUCCUCACCAUAACAGGGCCACCUCGCUUUUCAACCCUAAUAAACAUUAACGAAAAUAACCCCACCCUACUUAACCCAAUUAAACGCCUCACAAUGGGCAGCAUUAUUACUGGAUUCCUUAUCACCAACAACAUCCCCCCCACUUCGCUUCCCCAACCAACAAUACCCCACUACUUAAAACUCUCAGCCCUGUAUGCAACUAUCCUUGGUUUCCUAAUAACCCUAGACCUGACCUCUAUAACCAACAAACUAAAAAUAAACAACCCAUCACAAAUAUUUAAAUUCUCCAACAUACUAGGGUAUUUUCCCACUACAAUUCACCGCAUAGUCCCAUAUCAAAACCUACUCAUAAGCCAAAACCUAGCCCUUCUUCUACUAGAUUCAAUAUGACUAGAAAAAUCUAUACCCAAGAUGAUCGCACAUGUACACACCACCGCUUCCAAAACUGUCACUACCCAAAAAGGCAUAAUUAAGCUAUACUCCCUCUCCUUUCUCAUCCCCCUCACCCUAACCCUACUUCUAAUAAUAUAACCUAUUACCCCGAGUGAUCUCAAUUACAAUAUAUACACCCACAAACAAUGUCCAACCAGCAACCACUACUAACCAACGCCCAUAAUCGUACAAAGCACCAGCACCAAUAGAAUCUCCCCGAACUAACCCUGACCCCUCUCCCUCAAAAAUCACCCAACUCCCCAUACUAUUAAAACUAACUACCACUACCCCAUCAGAACUUGAAACCCAUAGAACUAACCCUACUUCUAUUAUUAAACCCACCAAAAGACCCCCUAAAACCCCAAACCCUGAACCCCAUGUCUCAGGGUACUCCUCAAUAGCUAUCGCUGUAGUAUAACCAAAAACAAUUAUUAUACCCCCCAAAUAAAUUAAAAACAACAUCAAACCUAUAUAAGUCCCCCCAAAACCUAAAACUACCAUACAACCAACCACACCACUAACAAUCAAUGCUAGCCCCCCAUAAAUAGGAGAGGGCUUAGAAGAAAAUCCAACAAAUCCCAUAACCAACAAUACACUCAACGCAAAUAAAAUAUAUGUCAUUGCUCUUGCAUGGACUACAGCCAUAACCAAUGAUAUGAAAAACCACCGUUGUACUUCAACUACAAAAGCACUAAUGACCCCAAUGCGUAAAUCCAACCCAAUUAUAAAAAUAAUUAACCACUCCCUCAUUGACCUGCCAACCCCAUCCAACAUUUCCAUAUGAUGAAACUUCGGCUCACUCCUCGCAUUCUGCCUAAUUCUACAGAUCAUCACAGGCCUAUUCUUAGCAAUACAUUACUCACCAGACACCUCUUCUGCCUUCUCUUCAAUCGCACACAUCACCCGAGACGUAAACCACGGCUGAAUCAUUCGCUACCUCCACGCCAACGGCGCCUCCAUAUUUUUCAUCUGCCUCUUUCUACACGUAGGCCGAGGUCUUUACUAUGGCUCAUUCCUUCUCCUAAAAACCUGGAACACUGGCAUUAUACUUCUAUUCUUGACUAUAGCAACAGCCUUUAUAGGCUACGUACUUCCAUGAGGCCAAAUAUCAUUCUGAGGAGCAACAGUGAUCACAAACCUAUUAUCAGCAAUCCCAUACAUCGGGACCGACCUCGUCCAAUGAAUCUGAGGUGGGUACUCCAUUGGCAACCCCACCCUUUCACGAUUCUUCACCCUACACUUUAUUCUACCUUUCAUUAUCACCGCUCUUACAAUAGUCCAUCUGCUAUUCCUACACGAAACAGGAUCAAACAACCCCUGCGGAAUCUCAUCAGACUCAGACAAAAUCCCCUUCCACCCCUACUACACAAUUAAGGAUAUCCUAGGCCUAGUCCUCCUCCUCUUCAUCCUAACAACACUAACACUACUCUCACCCAACCUCCUAAACGACCCAGACAACUACAUCCCAGCCGACCCACUAAAUACCCCUCCACACAUCAAACCAGAGUGAUACUUCCUAUUUGCAUACGCAAUUCUACGAUCUGUUCCUAAUAAACUAGGGGGCGUACUAGCACUCUUCCUUUCAAUCCUCAUCCUAUCUAUUAUCCCCACACUUCAUAAUUCCAAACAACAAAGCAUAAUAUUCCGCCCACUUAGCCAAUUCCUAUUCUGAUUCCUAAUUACAACCCUAUUAACCCUCACCUGGAUCGGAAGUCAGCCAGUAAGCCAACCCUUCAUUUUUAUUGGUCAACUAGCAUCCACAAUAUACUUCACCACAGUUCUAAUCCUGAUACCACUAACCUCCCUGAUCGAAAAUAACCUACUCAAAUGAACUUGCCCUUGUAGUAUAAACUAAUACACUAGUCUUGUAAACUAGAGAUGAGACUCAUAACCCCUAGGACAGCUCAGAAAGAAAGCACUUGACUUCACCACCAACACCCAAAACUGGCAUUCUAGCUUAAACUACUUUCUGUCUUUUAUAUUGUACAAACCCUACAGUACAACUCAAGCACCUUUACAUAAAUAUGCUAUGUAAU